GACAAAAUAGGAUAUGCCCAACUCUCACUAGAAGAGAGAGGAAAGGGAGGCUGAAAGAGAGCCACAGUAACUGGGAAGGUUGUUUUCGGGCAGGCAGGCAGGCAUCCCUUAACGCCGGGUGCAGGAGGCUGGAGGACGCUCCAACCCCUCCAGAGGGUGUGGGGAAAAACUCCACUCCUGUUUGGUCUUAUAGACUCCAGACCAGCGUGAGCCAGCAGAGUCACCAGGUAACCUGUUUGUUCUGCCCGAGGAAGGGACCAUUGAUCUCUGUGUUAAUUCUUCUUCUUUGUGUUCCUGGACUUGGACUGACUGAAAUUUUUGGAUAUGGGACAGUAACUUUCUGCCACCCCUCUGGGUCUGGUCCUGGAGCAUUGGGAUGAGGUCCAGGCAUGUGCACACAACUUGUAAAUAGACAUAAAAAGAAACUCCAGA
This 432-nucleotide long non-coding RNA is filed under the name Rattus norvegicus (Norway rat). Its description in RNAcentral is "long non-coding RNA NONRATT005663". Lineage: Eukaryota; Metazoa; Chordata; Mammalia; Rodentia; Muridae. The record is from RNAcentral.